UGAGGCAGCUGGUUCCAAACCAGCAAAACUUCAAGGCCCUCCAAGUCCCCGACUUGCCGUGCUGGGACUCCACAUCUGAUUCCACUGGAGCGAUUUGGUCUUCAUUCUCCUCAUCUGCUAUCCUGGGGAUACACUGCAGAGAAGAUAUAUGGCCUCUUUUAAGCUUGCGAGGCCGGACAGAGGAAAAUUGGGGGAGACCAAGAUUAAUUCUUCUUUGAAGAUACAGCUGGCAAGACCUGAAAAGUGGGCUGAAAUCUUUGCUACCCUGUGAGACUCGGAUCGUCUGCACUUACACAUUUGCUGCCAUUGUAUCUUAAGACACAAACCAAGAGCCUGUUGGUCGCAGCCAAAGUUCAGCAUCCAAAGAGAGAAUUACUUCUGGACAACUGACUCUUACAGUGACUCUGGGUCACGAUUUUAAAUCACGAACCAUAGUAAAUUAGUUUACAGAAGACUGGGAUGAGUGUACAGCCAUGCCAGGGAAACUGGUCUCCUUACCUUAUUACUGAGGACUUUUUAUGACUAACCUGGCUUCUUGUCCCCUAAAGGUAGUACAUGCAGGUCUGGGUAUAAUUGAAGGUCCCAGAAAGAAAUGGUUGACCUUUUGCCUCUACUGCCCCCAACAAAGAACUUUAAACAUGGUCUAACACUCGUCAGACAUAUAGAUCAAUGGAAUAAAGACCAGAAACAGACCACA
This is a non-coding RNA of Ictidomys tridecemlineatus (thirteen-lined ground squirrel), 697 nucleotides long. The record is from RefSeq and is a predicted model, not a curated record. Lineage: Eukaryota; Metazoa; Chordata; Mammalia; Rodentia; Sciuridae.